Molecule: ribosomal RNA, 497 nt
Filed under: uncultured bacterium
Lineage: Bacteria
Description: partial 16S ribosomal RNA
Rfam family: Bacterial small subunit ribosomal RNA
Source: RNAcentral
GACGAACGCUGGCGGCGUGCCUAAUACAUGCAAGUAGAACGCUGAAGGAAGGAGCUUGCUCUUUCUGGCUGAGUUGCGAACGGGUGAGUAACGCGUAGGUAACCUGCCUGGUAGCGGGGGAUAACUAUUGGAAACGAUAGCUAAUACCGCAUAAAAUUGAUUAUUGCAUGAUAGUCAAUUAAAAGGUGCAACUGCACCACUACCAGAUGGACCCGCGUUGUAUUAGCUAGUUGGUGGGGUAACGGCUCACCAAGGCGACGAUACAUAGCCGACCUGAGAGGGUGAUCGGCCACACUGGGACUGAGACACGGCCCAGACUCCUACGGGAGGCAGCAGUAGGGAAUCUUCGGCAAGGGACGGAAGGCUGACCGAGCAACGCCGCGUGAGUGAAGAAGGGUUUCGGAUCGUAAAGCUCUGUUGUAAGAGAAGAACGAGUGUGAGAGUGGAAAGUUCACACUGUGACGGUAUCUUACCAGAAAGGGACGGCUAACUACGUG